Molecule: ribosomal RNA, 497 nt
Filed under: uncultured bacterium
Lineage: Bacteria
Description: partial 16S ribosomal RNA
Rfam family: Bacterial small subunit ribosomal RNA
Source: RNAcentral
GACGAACGCUGGCGGCGUGCCUAAUACAUGCAAGUAGAACGCUGAAGAGAGGAGCUUGCUCUUCUUGGAUGAGUGGCGAACGGGUGAGUAACGCGUAGGUAACCUGCCUGGUAGCGGGGGAUAACUAUGGGAAACGAUAGCUAAUACCGCAUAACAACAGUUGUUGCAUGACUGCUGAGUAAAAGAUGCAAUUGCAUCACUACCAGAUGGACCUGCGUUGUAUUAGCUAGUUGGUGAGGUUACGGCUCACCAAGGCGACGGUUCAUAGCCGACCUGAGAGGGUGGUCGGCCACACUGGGACUUGGACCCGGCCCAGACCCCUUCGGGGGGCCGCAGUAGGGGAUCUUCGGCAAUGGGGGGAACCCUGACCGGGCAACGCCGCGUGAGUGAAGAAGGUUUUCGGAUCGUAAAGCUCUGUUGUAAGAGAAGAACGGGUGUGAGAGUGGAAAGUUCACACUGUGACGGUAUCUUACCAGAAAGGGACGGCUAACUACGUG